This 565-nucleotide non-coding RNA is filed under the name Pongo abelii (Sumatran orangutan). Lineage: Eukaryota; Metazoa; Chordata; Mammalia; Primates; Hominidae. The record is from RNAcentral.
AAAGCAUUAGGGGAGCCCACGGCUACAAAAACAAGUGAGUGAGAAGAGGUGGGAGGAAGAGAAACUACGCCACCUCCCCUGCAGCCGAGUGCACGCAGCAGCCUGGCGUGACAAGUGGGCGACGCCGGGGGGCAGGGAGCCAGGGUCCUUGGCCCUGGACGGGGACCCCACCGCCCACCGCGCGGAGGACAACUUUUAGCCGGCAGCCCCGGCCAGCGCGGCACCUGUCUCCGGAGUCUCCACCGCUCCUCCCGAUCCAUCCCAAGGAAAUUCUCAAGAAUACGCUCUACAAAUCUACGUGCGCAUCGUUUUCCCCUCGCGUCGCGCCCGGGAGGAAGGAACCAGGCAAGGAGCUAAAGCAGCGUGCGUUCAGCCCUGGGGAGAAAAAUCAAGACGCUCCCCUCAGUCCUCCCUCGGUGUUAACGUCUGCUCCAGCUCGCAGCCCGCUGCUGGGCAUUUUAUUAAUGCUUUUACGAGUUAGAAGAGUUGGGAUAAUUUGCCAUCUGGAGUUUCUCUGCCUUGCUGAUCUGAGCUCAGACAUGCCAAUUUACCAGAGAUGAUUGAU